This 253-nucleotide ribosomal RNA is filed under the name uncultured bacterium. Its description in RNAcentral is "partial 16S ribosomal RNA". It matches the Rfam family "Bacterial small subunit ribosomal RNA", at positions 524 to 776 of the family's 1533-position model. The record is from RNAcentral.
UACGUAGGGUGCGAGCGUUAAUCGGAAUUACUGGGCGUAAAGCGUGCGUAGGUGGUUCGUUAAGUCUGAUGUGAAAGCCCUGGGCUCAACCUGGGAAUGGCAUUGGAAACUGGCGACCUAGAGUGCGGUAGAGGGUAGUGGAAUUCCCGGUGUAGCAGUGAAAUGCGUAGAGAUCGGGAGGAACAUCCGUGGCGAAGGCGACUACCUGGACCAGCACUGACACUGAGGCACGAAAGCGUGGGGAGCAAACAGG